RNAcentral lists this ribosomal RNA (463 nucleotides) under uncultured bacterium. RNAcentral describes it as "partial 16S ribosomal RNA". It matches the Rfam family "Bacterial small subunit ribosomal RNA", at positions 339 to 795 of the family's 1533-position model. The record is from RNAcentral.
CUACGGGAGGCACCAGUGGGGAAUAUUGCACAAUGGGCGCAAGCCUGAUGCAGCCAUGCCGCGUGUAUGAAGAAGGCCUUCGGGUUGUAAAGUACUUUCAGCGGGGAGGAAGGGAGUAAAGUUAAUACCUUUGCUCAUUGACGUUACCCGCAGAAGAAGCACCGGCUAACUCCGUGCCAGCAGCCGCGGCAAUACGGAGGUGCAAGCGUUAAUCGGAAUUACUGGGCGUAAAGCGCACGCAGGCGGUUUGUUAAGUCAGAUGUGAAAUCCCCGGGCUCAACCUGGGAACUGCAUCUGAUACUGGCAAGCUUGAGUCUCGUAGAGGGGGGUAGAAUUCCAGGUGUAGCGGUGAAAUGCGUAGAGAUCUGGAGGAAUACCGGUGGCGAGGGCGGCCCCCUGGACGAAGACUGACGCUCAGGUGCGAAAGCGUGGGGAGCAAACAGGAUUAGAUACCCCUGUAGUC